RNAcentral lists this ribosomal RNA (536 nucleotides) under uncultured bacterium. Its description in RNAcentral is "bacterial SSU rRNA". It matches the Rfam family "Bacterial small subunit ribosomal RNA", at positions 777 to 1310 of the family's 1533-position model. The record is from RNAcentral.
AAUAGAUACCCAGGUAGUCCACGCCGUAAACGGUGGGCGCUAGGUGUGGGGACUUUCCACGUCCUCUGUGCCGCAGCUAACGCAUUAAGCGCCCCGCCUGGGGAGUACGGCCGCAAGGCUAAAACUCAAAGGAAUUGACGGGGGGCCCGCACAAGCGGCGGAGCAUGUGGCUUAAUUCGACGCAACGCGAAGAACCUUACCAAGGCUUGACAUGCAGGGAAAUCUCGUAGAGAUACGGGGUCCGCAAGGGCUCUGCACAGGUGGUGCAUGGUUGUCGUCAGCUCGUGUCGUGAGAUGUUGGGUUAAGUCCCGCAACGAGCGCAACCCCUUGUCCUAUGUUGCCAGCGAGUAAUGUCGGGGACUCAUAGGAGACUGCCGGGGUCAACUCGGAGGAAGGUGGGGAUGACGUCAAAUCAUCAUGCCCCUUAUGUCUUGGGCUGCACACAUGCUACAAUGGUCGGUACAAAGGGCUGCGAGACCGCAAGGUGGAGCGAAUCCCGAAAAAGCCGGCCUCGAGUUCGGAUUGGGGUCUGACC